RNAcentral lists this ribosomal RNA (433 nucleotides) under uncultured bacterium. RNAcentral's name for it is "partial 16S ribosomal RNA". It matches the Rfam family "Bacterial small subunit ribosomal RNA", at positions 29 to 507 of the family's 1533-position model. The record is from RNAcentral.
AACGAACGCUGGCGGCAUGCCUAACACAUGCAAGUCGAACGAGACCUUCGGGUCUAGUGGCGCACGGGUGCGUAACGCGUGGGAACCUGCCCUUAGGUUCGGAAUAACUCCCCGAAAGGGGUGCUAAUACCGGAUAAUGUCUUCGGACCGAAGAUUUAUCGCCUUUGGAUGGGCCCGCGUUGGAUUAGCUAGUUGGUAGGGUAAAAGCCUACCAAGGCGACGAUCCAUAGCUGGUCUGAGAGGAUGAUCAGCCACACUGGGACUGAGACACGGCCCAGACUCCUACGGGAAGCAGCAGUGGGGAAUAUUGGACAAUGGGCGAAAGCCUGAUCCAGCAAUGCCGCGUGAGUGAUGAAGGCCUUAGGGUUGUAAAGCUCUUUUACCCGGGAUGAUAAUGACAGUACCGGGAGAAUAAGCUCCGGCUAACUCCGUG